AAGGCCGAGAUACCUGUCGGAUCGUUGGCGCUAACCAUUAAUCCCAAAAGCUCGAGCUGUUAGAAAUACACAACCAAUUCACUUAAAUCGUACAGAAACAGCGCCCACGGGUCUCGAUUGUGACUCGGCCCACCUGGCCUCACGCCACUUCGAACAUGACUCGGCCCAACCCAGCCUUACGCCAUUUCAAACAUGACUCGGCCCACAUGACCUCCCGCCACAGGGCAGGAUGCUGGUCCAUUUAAGCCAACAAUUCCCCCUCUAGCACCUACACACAUUUGCAGCAUGCAGGAAUCGAACCCGUGACCUCUGGCUCUGAUACCACUUGUCGGAUCGUUGGCGCUAACCAUUAAUCCCAAAAGCUCGAGCUGUUAGAAAUACACAACCAAUUCACUUAAAGCGUACAGAAACAGCGCCCACGGGUCUCGAUUGUGACUCGGCCCACCUGGCCUCACGCCACUUCGAACAUGACUCGGCCCAACCCAGCCUCACGCCAUUUCGAACAUGACUCGGCCCACAUGGCCUCCCGCCACAGGGCAGGAUGCUGGCCCAUUUAAACCAACAAUACCUGUUCCAACCAUCUCUGUUGCCAGCGACCCCUCCGUUGUGAAGCAUGA
This 617-nucleotide long non-coding RNA is filed under the name Ananas comosus (pineapple). RNAcentral's name for it is "long non-coding RNA (ACOM_LNC036612)". The record is from RNAcentral. Lineage: Eukaryota; Viridiplantae; Streptophyta; Magnoliopsida; Poales; Bromeliaceae.